Molecule: long non-coding RNA, 1114 nt
Filed under: Scleropages formosus (Asian bonytongue)
Lineage: Eukaryota; Metazoa; Chordata; Actinopteri; Osteoglossiformes; Osteoglossidae
Description: lncRNA (ENSSFOG00015025254.1)
Source: RNAcentral
GAGAAGUCAACCCUGCUCCCCAGGGAUGUGUUUUGUGCUGGUUUUUGAUUUAUCAUCUCAUAUUCCACUGAAACCUUUGUCUAAGGCAACUUGCUCUGCAAAAUACGUGAUAAGUUGAUCCAUUAACAGAACAGACCAUUGCAUCACGCCCACUGGACUGUAGGAUGGAACCAGAACACCCAGAGGAUACUUGUUCCAGUUCUACACCAAUGUGCCAUAUUUGAACCUGCAGUCAUGUCACUGUUACCUUCUGGUAGCAUUUAGAAUGUUCCCUAAGAUGAUUAGUAGUGUGAUGGUUUGUGCUUUUGCAUUUGGACCUAAAAGUCUGAGGUUCAAAUCCCACUGUCUCCUUGAGCAAAGUACUUCCUUUAAAAUUGCUCCAGUAAAACUACCUACCUCUAUAAAUGGAUAAAUAAUUAUAACUUGCUUUGGAGAAAAGCAUCAGCUCAAUGAACAAAUGUAAAUGAGUGAGCUACUCUGUGAGUUGUGCAGAAGAUGCAUGGCUUCCCCAUCCAUUAAGCUGCCUGUCAUACAUGGUACAUGCAAGUUGGUGGUUGUAGACAGUGGCUUCUGGUUAUUCUGCAUGACUUCAUGUGACCUGUAGUGUGUUUGGAGGAAAAAAAUUAUCGAAUUAUUAUUUUGAGUAAUAAAGUAGAAUUAUGCCUGGGGAAAAAAGUCAGCACACAUUGUGUUUAAAUUCCCUUUUUGUUAAUGUAUUUGUUAAGGUUUUCACCAUUUUAAGAGUAAUGGCUGUGGUAACACAUGAUUUAGACAGACUAUACUAUUAAUCAGUACCAGACCACCCGACUUUUUGUUUACUUUAACUGUAUUUCAAUUGUUUUAAAAUAUAAAAAAAAAAAUCUUCCUAUCGCCAAGGGUUUUUACGACAGUUCAUGCACCGACGACCCAAUCGCGAGUUUUUACGACAGUUUUACGGCAGUCACUGCGCUUGUGACCGAAAUACAGUACAGAUUACGUUUAGGGCAGAAACGUUUGCUGGGGUUCCAGCGCUCGUGGUAUUAUGUGAGGAACAGCCAAUCUUGGAGACGCUUUGGACGACAGUCAACUAGUUUCCCUCUGCCUCACUGCAUAAAAACUGACAAGAAGUGCAACG